Molecule: transfer RNA, 75 nt
Filed under: Erysipelotrichaceae bacterium
Lineage: Bacteria; Bacillati; Bacillota; Erysipelotrichia; Erysipelotrichales; Erysipelotrichaceae
Description: tRNA-Thr
Rfam family: tRNA
About the family: Transfer RNA (tRNA) molecules are approximately 80 nucleotides in length. Their secondary structure includes four short double-helical elements and three loops (D, anti-codon, and T loops). Further hydrogen bonds mediate the characteristic L-shaped molecular structure. tRNAs have two regions of fundamental functional importance: the anti-codon, which is responsible for specific mRNA codon recognition, and the 3' end, to which the tRNAs corresponding amino acid is attached (by aminoacyl-tRNA synthetases). tRNAs cope with the degeneracy of the genetic code in two manners: having more than one tRNA (with a specific anti-codon) for a particular amino acid; and 'wobble' base-pairing, i.e. permitting non-standard base-pairing at the 3rd anti-codon position.
Source: RNAcentral
GCCGUCGUAGCUAAGUGGUAUAGCACUUCCAUGGUAAGGAAGGGGCCGGGUGUUCGACUCACCUCGACGGCACCA